This 5616-nucleotide long non-coding RNA is filed under the name Brachypodium distachyon (stiff brome). Its description in RNAcentral is "long non-coding RNA (BDIS_LNC002700)". The record is from RNAcentral. Lineage: Eukaryota; Viridiplantae; Streptophyta; Magnoliopsida; Poales; Poaceae.
GGCUCUCCGACGUGUUCGCCAUGAUCGGGCUGCAGGAGUUCUUCUACGACCAGGUCCCCGACGCGCUCCGCAGCCUCGGCCUCGCCUUCUUCCUCAGCAUCUUCGGCGUGGGGCACUUCCUCAGCAGCUUCCUCAUAUCCGCCAUCGACGGCGCCACCAAGAAGAGCGGGGCCAGCUGGUUCUCCAACAACCUCAACCGCGCGCACCUCGACUACUUCUACUGGCUCCUCGCCGGGCUCUGCGCCGUGGAGCUCCUCGCGUUCCUCAUCGUUUCGCGCGUUUAUGUGUACAAGAAGAGGGUGGCGCAUCAUGACGACGGUGCUGCUGCUGUCAUGUAGAUUAGGGAAUGGAUAAAACUUUUGCGAUGUGAUUAUUUUGUUGUCAAUGUAUAGUGUAUAGCGUUAUAGUUUCUGGGAGAGAUUUAGCUUGAUCUAUGUACUGGUUCAGCUAUGCCCGAGUUCUAAAAUUCCAAGAUAUUCUGCACAGAUCAAAGUGCAGGUUUUUUUUUGUACUGGUACAACUAUGAUUUGCAAGGACGUAAAUCAAAAUGUUGGAGAAGAGCACAUGGCCCAGCUACAAGCCCACGAGACCGACCAGGAGAAUUACAAAGCCGUGAAGGCCCGAAAGGGGCCGAAAAUACGUAGAACGCAGCUCAUUUCUUUCCAUCUUCAUCUCGUACUUCCCCUGCAAAAAGAAGAUCUGCAUCUCGUAACGUGAUUUCGUGAGAAUGAUGGUGUCAUGGAGUGCACGUAUCAACAAAAGUGUGGACCAUCUCUGAACUUGACAACUUGUAUAUGUGAAGGCGUGAAGCUACUCUUGCAGGUUGUGAUAUUUGAACGCCCAAGGACUCGAUUGUGUGGACAACUUGAUCAAAGAUCCAUAGUCAAUGUUAACAGGUCUCUCGGCCAGAUAUUACUGUUGUCGUUAUUUUUGUACAAAUUUAAACUAAAACAACGACAAGAAUUAUGAAACGGAGGGAGUAUAACACAUUCAUACUAGGAAACAUAAUUAUAUUUAUUGGACAAAUUAUUUAAUUAAUUAGUUCAGUGAAUGGAUCCCUUUAGUGAAUUAGUCUGUAAUCAUCUUUUGCAACGCAAUCAGUACAGUUUACAUAAGAAACCCGAACAAAUAGAAAACAUAGUGGUAAAUUGUGCAGAGCAUGCUGACUAUUCGUAAAGACGUCAAGUAUUUGGACUGCAGAAGGCGAUCCCAAUCAACAAUGUGCAGUGUUCGAUAAUGGGUGGAUGAUAGCACGUGAUAAGAAGGAAAGACAGUUGGUGGCAGGAUAUAAUGUAUACAGCUUUUUGCCGUAAAAAAUACGUAUAUAAGCAUCUUUCGGCUUUUGAGAGCGCCACUGAGUCUGAAUCCCCUCCAAGAUUUUUUUUGACGAACUGAUCCCCUCCAAGAAUAGUACAACUCCAAUGUGGAUAGGGAUGGGUGUAGGCCGGCAUAUACAGCUGCCUAGCUGAGUGACAUCGAUCGGCUUAUAUUGAACUAGCCCAUGGUCCAUGGAGUGUACAUGCGUCUGAUGAAGGAAGCUAGAUUCUUUCUAAUUUUGUCUAUUGAGCACCAUUUCAAGAGCUAACAAAAGGAAAAAAAGAAAGACAACGUCCAAACUGUUGUACUGUAGAAGAUAUUUGGAAAUGUACAAUGCUUCAUAAGAUUGUCUUCUUUUAUACGUUACACCUCGUUCAGAGACCACAAAUAUGCUAGGUUUUAUCACUUAAGUGGAUUAAAUUAAAUAAAUUCGAAGAAAAAGUUGAAAUCUAGUUGCAAUGGCAAAAAAAAGGUGUUAUUAUUCUUGUUAAGAGAUCAUCUUUUUGUUAAGAGAAGGUUCUUGUCUUCUUUCCAUUUCUUUCUCUUCCGCGUCAGAAAUUGUCCUAUCUAACAUUGUUAAAAAAAGUCUGACAUCAUACUAUUGUACUCAUCCUUAGUGCAGUCGUAACUUGUAAAAUCGUCUUCUCUUUUUUGCGAGUAAGAUCGUCUUCCAUUGGCAGUUCACUGCAAUGGCCAAGCACAUCACCUUUCAAUCUUCUAAAUCUAAGGCCACCAAUCGAAGUACCAUAACUCAUGGACGAGAGAUUUAGGUUGAGAGAUUUUCUUUGUUAUCUUAAAGAAAUCUUGUAAAAAAAAUCAGUACUAGUAUCAAUUACAAUUACAAUUAUUAGGGGAUUGAAUGCGCAAACUUUCUAUAUAGAGAUGGUACAGUUUAACUCUCUACUACGCGUCAGAUUCUUCCUAAGUCAUACUUUUUAUUAGCAGUAUCAUAUGGUGAUGACAUCAAGGUCUUGGGUGGGAGGAAGAGGAACACAUGCUUUACUUGGACGCAGAUUCAGCGCAGUUAGUGCAGAGGACUUUGGGUAGUUGACAUGUGAAUCCCACGCCAUGUUGGCCCACAUGUCAGCUACCCAGAGUUACAUGCAGUACUUCACUAAAUCCUUCUCCGCUUUACUUGUGCCGAGCUUUAUGGGUUUUUUGUCCAGGCCGGAGUCGUUUGUUCUUGGGGCUAUGUUUGAUAUCAAAGUAUUAGAAGAUUGAAUGAGCAAAUUUUCUACAUAGAGAUGGUACAGUUGAACUUUGUACUACGUGUCAGAUUCUUUCUAAAUCAUAAUAUUUUUUUAUUAGCGGUGUGAUAUGGUGAUGACAUCAAGGUCUUGGAUUGGAGGAAGAGGAACACAUGCUUUACUUGUGCUGAGCUCUACCAGCUUUUUCCCAGGCCGGGGUGGUUUGUUCUCCGCGGAGUUGCUUUGAACAAAUUUUAUCUACUUAGCAGAACAAAAGAUUUGGGCUAUGUAUCGUAUCAAAGUAUUAAAAAACCAAAGUAUUGACAAACUGCAGUAUUUUAACUUUUAGAUAUAAGUUGGUCUCAUUUCCUUGAAUAAUAAAGCCUUACACAAUGAUAUAUUCUCCUUGAUUAACAUGCGUCCGCAAAAAGGAAAAUAAUACUCCGUGACAAGAAAUGUGUCUUUCUCGUGCACUUCUACUCCUAUUCAUGUCUGUGUUUGUAAGAUAGUUCUAUACACGAGCCAUGCCGGAGUACAAGAGUACAAAACUGCGGCGGUCUAGAUCACGAAUAAUCAGAAUAAGACCGUUAAGCAAUACAGUACCUAACUUUUAGCGUUUGCAGAAUAGUUCUAUAACACGAAUCGUGCGGGAGUAUAACAUUCCCAUCAGGACCUAUACCGUGAUCCGAUCGCCAACUGUUCGUGUCCGUUGCUUUUCCAAAAGUUCCCCAGAAGUCAGAAUUAAGCGCCUAGCUAUAUAGUUACCAUCAAUUUGGAAUCGUGGAGAACGGGAGGUCCGUGCCCGCGGUGCACUAGCGACCUCUUUUCGAGCUGGGCAGAUCUCAGCCGACCACAUCCGAUCAAUCAAACAGGAGCCUAGCUGCGCGUGCCCAUGCUCUCUCGUGCGCCCGUGCAGAAAGUCUCACCCGCGGCACGUGGCAUUCGCACGCGGGGCGCCACGGCGGCACAGGCGCGCGCAUGGCCCGAGCGAGCGCCCACGAGCGGCGCCAAACAAGGCAAGAUAUAAACUCGUAACGUUCAAAAAUGUCAAGAAUGUGCCACCGGAGGAGAUAAUUUGGCACUGAAUUUAUAAUUCGUGUUGCUAUGUAUCUGCUGUUACAAAUGGAACCCAUUAAUGCUGUCCAUCGAUUAUUGCCUCGGGUUGGCACUUGGCACGCUGUUUCCGCCUGCAAUCAGCUGUACCCGUCUCGAUCGGCUUGCACGCAAUCCUGCCCAUCCUUCCUACAUAAAGCCCUGGCCUUCCGUGUCAUGCUUCACCGGAGCCUGUUGACACCCAACCCCGGCCACCACUUUGGAGACAUCACCAUGGGGGACACUGUCUCUGGCGCCGCCGACUACCGCGGCCAGCCCGCCUCCCGUGCCGCCACCGGCGGCUGGAAGUCUUCGAUUUUCGUCAUGGGUGCGUUCCAAUCUCUCUUUGUUCACGCCGACGGCGGGCCUUCUUGUUGUUGAUCGCUUGUUUGCAUGCAGCAAUGGAGAUUGCGGAGAGGUUCGCGUACAAGGGCGUGGCGUCGAACCUGAUCCAGUACCUGACGGGGCCGCUGGGGCAGCCGAUGGCGCGCGCGGCGGCGUCCAUCGACGCGUGGAAGGGCGUCUCCCAGAUGCUGCCGCUGCCGCUCGCCUGCAUCGCCGACGCCUGGCUCGGCCGCUACCGCGCCAUCGUCCUCGCCUCCAUCCUCUUCAUCCUGGUCAGUCACAAGCUCGAUCACAAUUCGAUUCGAGGAGAAGUAUCCCGAUCUCUGAUUUUUCUUUCUCCCUGGAAACUAUCCAGAGCAUGGGCACGUUGUCUCUGUCGUCGGCGGUCCGCAUCUUCGGGGCCGGCGGGCACGUCGCCGUCUUCUACGUGGCGCUGUACCUGGUGGCGCUGGGCGAGGGCGCGCACAAGCCGUGCGCGCAGGCGUUCGCCGCCGACCAGUUCGACGACAAGGACCCCAAGGAGUCCGUGGCGCGGAGCUCCUUCUUCAACUGGUGGUACCUGGGCAUGUGCUCCGGCACCGCCGUCACCAUCAUGGUCUCCAGCUACGUCCAGGACAACGUCGGCUGGGGCCUCGGCUUCGGCAUCCCCUGCAUCGUCAUCGCCGUCUCCCUCGCCGUCUUCCUCCUGGGCACCCGCUCCUACCGCUACUACACCACCAAGGAGCCCAGCCCCGUCGCCCGCGUCGGCAAGGCGUUCUUCACAUUGAUCAAGAGCUGGAGAUCGAAACAUCGCACCAAGUAUGUAACAAUUCGAUCGAACUCCUCAGAUCUGUUUCUUUAAUUGCCCGUGCGACGUCUGCUGAUGUGAAAGUUCGUACGGUGUGCAGCCCGGCGAGCAGUGCCAAAGUCGAGGGCGGCGACAGCGCCGAGGAUCUCGUCGAGGAAGUGAAGAGCGUCUUCCGCCUGCUGCCAAUCUGGGCGUCCUGCAUAAUCUACGCCAUCAUCUUCUCCCAGACGUCGACGUUCUUCACCAAGCAGGCGGCGACGCUGGACCGGCGGAUCGGGCCCAGCUUCAAGGUGCCGCCCGCGGCGCUGCAGACGUUCAUCAGCAUCAGCAUCGUCGUCUUCAUCCCGGUGUACGACCGGCUCUUCGUCCCUUUGGCCCGGCGCUACACGGGGAGGCCGUCGGGGAUCACCAUGCUGCAGAGGGUCGGCGUCGGGCUGGCGCUCUCCCUGGCCGCCGUCGUCCUCUCUGCUCUCGUCGAGAUGAAGCGGCUCCGCGUCGCGUCUGCAGCCGGCCUCGUGAACACCCCGAAGACGCAGCUCCCGAUGACGCUGUGGUGGAUGGUCCCGCAGUACAUCCUCAUCGGCGUGUCCGACGUGUUCGCCAUGAUCGGGCUGCAGGAGUUCUUCUACGACCAGGUGCCCGACGCCGUGCGCAGCCUCGGGCUCGCGCUGUUCCUCAGCAUCUUCGGCGUCGGACACCUCCUCAGCAGCUUCCUCAUAUCGGUCAUCGACGGCGCCACCAAGAAGAACGGGGCCAGCUGGUUCUCCAACAACCUCAACAAGGCGCACCUCGACUACUUCUACUGGCUCCUCGCCGGGCUCUGCGCCGUGGAGCUCGUUGCCUUCUUGUUCUUCUCGCGACUUUAUGUCUACAAGAAAAAGGCCGGCG